RNAcentral lists this ribosomal RNA (239 nucleotides) under Salmonella enterica subsp. enterica serovar Kentucky. RNAcentral describes it as "partial 23S ribosomal RNA". It matches the Rfam family "Bacterial large subunit ribosomal RNA", at positions 670 to 908 of the family's 2925-position model. The record is from RNAcentral. Lineage: Bacteria; Pseudomonadati; Pseudomonadota; Gammaproteobacteria; Enterobacterales; Enterobacteriaceae.
AGGGAAACCGAGUCUUAACCGGGCGUUAAGUUGCAGGGUAUAGACCCGAAACCCGGUGAUCUAGCCAUGGGCAGGUUGAAGGUUGGGUAACACUAACUGGAGGACCGAACCGACUAAUGUUGAAAAAUUAGCGGAUGACCUGUGGCUGGGGGUGAAAGGCCAAUCAAACCGGGAGAUAGCUGGUUCUCCCCGAAAGCUAUUUAGGUAGCGCCUCGUGAAUUCAUCUCCGGGGGUAGAGC